AGUGAACGCUGGCGGUAGGCCUAACACAUGCAAGUCGAACGGCAGCACAGAGGAGCUUGCUCCUUGGGUGGCGAGUGGCGGACGGGUGAGGAAUACAUCGGAAUCUACUCUGUCGUGGGGGAUAACGUAGGGAAACUUACGCUAAUACCGCAUACGACCUACGGGUGAAAGCAGGGGACCUUCGGGCCUUGCGCGAUUGAAUGAGCCGAUGUCGGAUUAGCUAGUUGGCGGGGUAAAGGCCCACCAAGGCGACGAUCCGUAGCUGGUCUGAGAGGAGGAUCAGCCACACUGGAACUGAGACACGGUCCAGACUCCUACGGGAGGCAGCAGUGGGGAAUAUUGGACAAUGGGCGCAAGCCUGAUCCAGCCAUACCGCGUGGGUGAAGAAGGCCUUCGGGUUGUAAAGCCCUUUUGUUGGGAAGGAAAUCCAGCUGGCUAAUACCCGGUUGGGAUGACGGUACCCAAAGAAUAAGCACCGGCUAACUUCGUGCCAGCAGCCGCGGUAA
RNAcentral lists this ribosomal RNA (506 nucleotides) under uncultured bacterium. RNAcentral's name for it is "partial 16S ribosomal RNA". It matches the Rfam family "Bacterial small subunit ribosomal RNA", at positions 29 to 523 of the family's 1533-position model. The record is from RNAcentral.